RNAcentral lists this ribosomal RNA (520 nucleotides) under uncultured Glomus. Its description in RNAcentral is "SSU rRNA". It matches the Rfam family "Eukaryotic small subunit ribosomal RNA", at positions 569 to 1092 of the family's 1831-position model. The record is from RNAcentral. Lineage: Eukaryota; Fungi; Glomeromycota; Glomeromycetes; Glomerales; Glomeraceae.
AGCAGCCGCGGUAAUUCCAGCUCCAAUAGCGUAUAUUAAAGUUGUUGCAGUUAAAAAGCUCGUAGUUGAAUUUCGGGGUUAGUAGGUUGGUCAUGCCUCUGGUAUGUACUGGUCUCACUGAUUCCUCCUUCCUGAUGAGCCGUAAUGCCCUUAAUUUGGUGUUGCGGGGAAUUUGGACUGUUACCUUGAAAAAAUUAGAGUGUUUAAAGCAGGCUCACGCUUGAAUACAUUAGCAUGGAAUAAUGAAAUAGGACGUUUGAUCCUAUUUUGUUGGUUUCUAGGAUUGACGUAAUGAUUAAUAGGGAUAGUUGGGGGCAUUAGUAUUCAAUUGUCAGAGGUGAAAUUCUUGGAUUUAUUGAAGACUAACUACUGCGAAAGCAUUUGCCAAGGAUGUUUUCAUUAAUCAAGAACGAAAGUUAGGGAUCGAAGACGAUCAGAUACCGUCGUAGUCUUAACCAUAAACUAUGCCGACUAGGGAUCGGAUGAUGUUAAUUUUUAUGACUUCAUUCGGCGCCUUACG